CUUACCUCAUUUUGGAAACUUUCGCUGUAUAAUUUUUCCUCUCGCCUACUGCACUUGGAGUAUAUUCUUGCAUAUAAAACCCCCAAAGUCACUGUUCUCCUGAUACUCAGGGACCAAAACUGCCACAUAGUCACCCUUUGAAAACUCCUCUAAUAUGACUGGUGUUGGGGGGUGGGGAGCGCAGGGGAGUGGGUGACAAAUGACAUCUUUCAACAAAGGACACACUGAGUUUCCAAGAAAAGUAAACUCUUAAGUGAAUUUCCGGUAAAUCCAAGUAUUUCUGCUGAUGAACUGAGGAAACGUCAGAAAGUGUGUGCUCAAAGAAGCACUGUGGGACCUCGAAGGCACAGCUAACCUAUCAGGCACAGGGGCGGGACCCGGAAGGCACAGCUGACCUAUCAGGCACAGAGCAGUGUGCUUUGCGCAGACCUCGCAGCCAUUCAAAGUUUACAGCCCAGGAACACAGGAUGAAGCACAAAAGGCGCAACCUGGUACAGGAACUGCGGGGUGAGCUCAAGGAUCCAAGAAGCUGUCUUUCUCCUCCUCCAUGUGGCCACUGAAAUCAGCACGCCUAGACACCAUUCAACCUCCAAAAGCCCUUAACAGGACCUCUGCAUGACCACCUCCAAAACCCAGGGACAUGACAGAAGAGGAAACAAAAAGACUGUAAGAACCGGAAGAUGGGAAAGAAUACUAUGCGACACCAUCUUGUAGAUAUGACACAGCUGUUGCAAUAGUGAACACGCAGCACCUAUGGCCACCUGCACAGGACAUACAUACAUGCAGACAGACAGGAGGCUGGAGAGAUGGCUCAAUUGUUAAGAACACACACUGUUCCCUCCAGAGGACCAAUUUGGUUCCCUGCACCCUGUUGAACUGCGCAUCACCACCAGUAACUCCAGAUCCACGGGAACCAGCGCCCUCUGCUGACCACUCCAGGCACUGCACUCAUAUACCCGUGUCCCCAUGCUUGUCAUGAACAGACACUUAAUUAAAAAUUAAAAAAAU
This 1008-nucleotide small RNA is filed under the name Rattus norvegicus (Norway rat). RNAcentral's name for it is "uncharacterized LOC102554453". The record is from RNAcentral. Lineage: Eukaryota; Metazoa; Chordata; Mammalia; Rodentia; Muridae.